CACGCGAAUCCAUUCACAGGCGUUGCUAUUUCGUUGCUAUUUCAUUGCAAUUUCUCGAAUCUUUACACUAAAAGUCUAAUCCUAUUCCACGUGUCUGCCCCCUAGCAUUUUUAGUUCUUACACUGGGAAUCGUUCAAAAACCGACCAAACGAUGUCAGAACCCGGAAAAUAUGAAUACAAAGUAUCAUUUUCUAGUUUUCCCCAACUACGAACCUGUCCACAAUCGUAUUCUUCCCGGAACAAAUUAAAUGAAUUUUCUUCUCGGCCGUCUCCCGUAGUUUACUCCGCCUACGAGUAAUUUACGCUGUAUGAUGUUCAACGAUCUCAACACUACUACUACUACUACUACCAAAUCUCAAAUU
Long non-coding RNA from Contarinia nasturtii (swede midge), 362 nucleotides. RefSeq lists it as uncharacterized. The record is from RefSeq and is a predicted model, not a curated record. NCBI's taxonomy places the organism in Eukaryota, Metazoa, Arthropoda, Insecta, Diptera, Cecidomyiidae. The transcript has 3 exons.